This 433-nucleotide ribosomal RNA is filed under the name Salmonella enterica. RNAcentral's name for it is "partial 23S ribosomal RNA". It matches the Rfam family "Bacterial large subunit ribosomal RNA", at positions 2370 to 2802 of the family's 2925-position model. Lineage: Bacteria; Pseudomonadati; Pseudomonadota; Gammaproteobacteria; Enterobacterales; Enterobacteriaceae. The record is from RNAcentral.
UGACUGCGAGCGUGACGGCGCGAGCAGGUGCGAAAGCAGGUCAUAGUGAUCCGGUGGUUCUGAAUGGAAGGGCCAUCGCUCAACGGAUAAAAGGUACUCCGGGGAUAACAGGCUGAUACCGCCCAAGAGUUCAUAUCGACGGCGGUGUUUGGCACCUCGAUGUCGGCUCAUCACAUCCUGGGGCUGAAGUAGGUCCCAAGGGUAUGGCUGUUCGCCAUUUAAAGUGGUACGCGAGCUGGGUUUAGAACGUCGUGAGACAGUUCGGUCCCUAUCUGCCGUGGGCGCUGGAGAACUGAGGGGGGCUGCUCCUAGUACGAGAGGACCGGAGUGGACGCAUCACUGGUGUUCGGGUUGUCAUGCCAAUGGCACUGCCCGGUAGCUAAAUGCGGAAGAGAUAAGUGCUGAAAGCAUCUAAGCACGAAACUUGCCCCGA